UAGAGGAGCUUGGAGGAAGGGUGCAAUUCCCACAACCUGGGUUCAAUUCUUCACUUUGCUGUUAACACCAUCUUUGUGGGAAGUCUGUCAGUUGGGCUUAGGUCCAAUUGGUUUACCUGGAAAUCAGAAAUGCAGGCGGCCUGAUUACUCCCGGGCAUUAGUCAGAAAGCGUUAAUCUGGAUUCAGGCGAUGUGGUAGCCCAACACCUAGGUAUUGGCGACGAAUCCACAUUGUAACACUUUGGUGUGAUCCUCCCAGAGCUGACCGGAUCAGCCGAUCGGGUUUAUCAAAAAAAAAAAAAAAAAA
This 306-nucleotide long non-coding RNA is filed under the name Capsella grandiflora. RNAcentral's name for it is "long non-coding RNA (CGRA_LNC000187)". Lineage: Eukaryota; Viridiplantae; Streptophyta; Magnoliopsida; Brassicales; Brassicaceae. The record is from RNAcentral.